Molecule: long non-coding RNA, 317 nt
Filed under: Elaeis guineensis (African oil palm)
Lineage: Eukaryota; Viridiplantae; Streptophyta; Magnoliopsida; Arecales; Arecaceae
Description: long non-coding RNA (EGUI_LNC081332)
Source: RNAcentral
UCCCAUGAUAAGGCUCAAAAGAAGCGAUCUCUAAAAUACAUAACACGUGAUCUAUUAGUAUAUACCAGUGAUUAGCUCCAUUGGUUAGACUCAGAAAGGAACUAACUUUGAUUCACAUGAUCAUGAUUAACCUAAUAAUAAGACAAAGAGAUUAAUCUUAAAAAUAAAUAUGCAAUGCAUCGCAUGUGCCAGCAAUCAUCUCCGAUUGGCUAGGUUCAGAAGGACUAACUUUACCAAUGAUCAGCCCCGACUGACUAUGUUUAGGAGAAAUUAUUUUUUAGUCAUGUGGCUGAUGAUUAAUCCUGUUGGUUAGAUGC